GCUCAAAUUUGAAAUCUGGCUUUCGGGCCCGAGUUGUAAUUUGUAGAGGAUACUUUUGAUGCGGUGCCUUCCGAGUUCCCUGGAACGGGACGCCAUAGAGGGUGAGAGCCCCGUCUGGUUGGAUGCCAAAUCUCUGUAAAGUUCCUUCGACGAGUCGAGUAGUUUGGGAAUGCUGCUCUAAAUGGGAGGUAUAUGUCUUCUAAAGCUAAAUAUUGGCCAGAGACCGAUAGCGCACAAGUAGAGUGAUCGAAAGAUGAAAAGCACUUUGAAAAGAGAGUUAAAAAGUACGUGAAAUUGUUGAAAGGGAAGCGUUUAUGACCAGACUUGGACUUGGUUAAUCAUCUGGGGUUCUCCCCAGUGCACUUUUCCAGUUCAGGCCAGCAUCAGUUUUCGCCGGGGGAUAAAGGCUUCGGGAAUGUAGCUCUCUUCGGGGAGUGUUAUAGCCCGUUGUGUAAUACCCUGGUGGAGACUGAGGUUCGCGCUUCUGCAAGGAUGCUGGCGUAAUGGUCAUCAACGACCCGUCUUGAAACACGGACCAAGGAGUCGUCUUCGUAUGCGAGUGUUCGGGUGUCAAACCCCUACGCGUAAUGAAAGUGAACGCAGGUGAGAGCUUCGGCGCAUCAUCGACCGAUCCUGAUGUUCUCGGAUGGAUUUGAGUAAGAGCAUACGGGGCCGGACCCGAAAGAAGGUGAACUAUGCCUGUAUAGGGUGAAGCCAGAGGAAACUCUGGUGGAGGCUCGCAGCGGUUCUGACGUGCAAAUCGAUCGUCAAAUAUG
This 776-nucleotide ribosomal RNA is filed under the name Fusarium avenaceum. RNAcentral describes it as "LSU rRNA". It matches the Rfam family "Eukaryotic large subunit ribosomal RNA", at positions 107 to 913 of the family's 3401-position model. Lineage: Eukaryota; Fungi; Ascomycota; Sordariomycetes; Hypocreales; Nectriaceae. The record is from RNAcentral.